Sander lucioperca (pikeperch) is the source of this 157-nucleotide long non-coding RNA. RefSeq lists it as uncharacterized. The transcript has 3 exons. NCBI's taxonomy places the organism in Eukaryota, Metazoa, Chordata, Actinopteri, Perciformes, Percidae. The record is from RefSeq and is a predicted model, not a curated record.
GUGCCAAGUUUCGUGCAGCUCGGUCGCACGGUCUAGGAGGAGUUUGGAAAAGUAGGUUUUCAAUAAAUCGCGAUUUUUCACGCAUAAAAGUCUAGGCGGAAAUGGGCGUGGCCUAUAUCACCAGAUUCAGCUGGAUCCAGGGAAUGCGUGGAUGUAU